AGAUACCCCAGUUCCUCCCAGUACCUCAGAUCGUGACUGUCUUUGGAGACAAGGUUUUUAAAGAGGUGAUUAAGUUAAAGUGAGGUCAUGAGGGUGGGCCCUAAUCCAAUCUGACAUGAUAGGUGUCCUUAGAAGAAGAGGAGAUUGGGCCCCAGACACACAUGCACAGAAGAAAGACCACGUGAAGACAAAGGGAGAAGUCGGUGAUCUACAAACCAAGGAAACAUCCUCAGAAUGAAACCAACCUUGCCAACCCCUGAUCCUAGGCCUCCAGCCUCCACAACGGCCUUUGGACUCAGAUGGAAUUAUACCACGGGGUUUCCUGGAUCUCCAGUAUGCAGAUGGCAGAUUGUGGAACUUCUCAGCCUCCAAAAUCGAGAUAACUUUGGCAUCAACUCGGGACAGCUCAUGCACAAAAAUGCAAGAUCCAUUAGGCCAGGCAGAGAAGAGAGUCCAGGCUGCCUUCACCCAGCCAGUGUCUGUCGUGUUCCAGAAGACGUCCGAUUUGGUCAAGGCCAACCACCAUCUGCCAAAAAUUAGAGAAUGUCAGUACCCUUGGCAAUGACUCUACCUUUAAAAAGGAUUGUAUUAUCUAUAUCACCACAUUUGGAGCCCUGCU
RNAcentral lists this long non-coding RNA (619 nucleotides) under Pan troglodytes (chimpanzee). Its description in RNAcentral is "long non-coding RNA NONPTRT005962". The record is from RNAcentral. Lineage: Eukaryota; Metazoa; Chordata; Mammalia; Primates; Hominidae.